AGCUUUGCGCAGUGGCAGUAUCGUAGCCAAUGAGGUUUAUCCGAGGCGCGAUUAUUGCUAAUUGAAAACAAAGUAAAAUGAGACACUGGAGAAGAAUCAAAGGGUAUGAUGCUUUUCCUUCUUUCUCUUUCUCUCAAAAUUGUUUUUGAAGAUGCUAUAUCA
RNAcentral lists this small nuclear RNA (162 nucleotides) under Chinchilla lanigera (long-tailed chinchilla). RNAcentral describes it as "U4 spliceosomal RNA (ENSCLAG00000020767.1)". It matches the Rfam family "U4 spliceosomal RNA". Rfam says of the family: U4 small nuclear RNA (U4 snRNA) is a component of the major U2-dependent spliceosome. The structure of U4 snRNA from yeast and human has been reported. The record is from Rfam by way of RNAcentral. Lineage: Eukaryota; Metazoa; Chordata; Mammalia; Rodentia; Chinchillidae.